Molecule: transfer RNA, 61 nt
Filed under: Echinolaelaps echidninus
Lineage: Eukaryota; Metazoa; Arthropoda; Arachnida; Mesostigmata; Laelapidae
Description: tRNA-Ala
Source: RNAcentral
AGAUAAAUAGUUUAUUAAAAUUUUUAUUUUGCACAUAAAAGUAGAAUUUUUUCUUUAUCUU